Molecule: ribosomal RNA, 373 nt
Filed under: uncultured organism
Description: partial 16S ribosomal RNA
Rfam family: Bacterial small subunit ribosomal RNA
Source: RNAcentral
GUAGGUGGCAAGCGUUGUCCGGAAUUAUUGGGCGUAAAGCGCGCGCAGGCGGUUCUUUAAGUCUGAUGUGAAAGCCCACGGCUCAACCGUGGAGGGUCAUUGGAAACUGGAGAACUUGAGUACAGAAGAGGAAAGCGGAAUUCCACGUGUAUCGGUGAAAUGCGUAGAGAUGUGGAGGAACACCAGUGGCGAAGGCGGCUUUCUGGUCUGUAACUGACGCUGAGGCGCGAAAGCGUGGGGAGCAAACAGGGAUUAGAUACCCUGGUAGUCCACGCCGUAAACGAUGAGUGCUAAGUGUUAGGGGGUUUCCGCCCCCUUAGUGCUGCAGCUAACGCAUUAAGCACUCCGCCUGGGGAGUACGGCCGCAAGGCUG